This 579-nucleotide ribosomal RNA is filed under the name Glutinomyces brunneus. Its description in RNAcentral is "eukaryotic LSU rRNA". The stretch from base 228 to 381 matches the Rfam family "5.8S ribosomal RNA". The record is from RNAcentral. Lineage: Eukaryota; Fungi; Ascomycota; Leotiomycetes; Helotiales; Hyphodiscaceae.
AGAGGAAGUAAAAGUCGUAACAAGGUCUCCGUAGGUGAACCUGCGGAGGGAUCAUUACAGAGUUCAUGCCCUACACGGGUAGAUCUCCCACCCUUUGUUAUCAUUACCUUCGUUGCUUUGGCGGGCCGUCAGGCCUCGGUCAGGCUACCGGCUCUAGCUGGUAAGCGCCCGCCAGAGGACCCCAAACUCUGAAUAUUAGUGUCGUCUGAGUACUAUAUAAUAGUUAAAACUUUCAACAACGGAUCUCUUGGUUCUGGCAUCGAUGAAGAACGCAGCGAAAUGCGAUAAGUAAUGUGAAUUGCAGAAUUUAGUGAAUCAUCGAAUCUUUGAACGCACAUUGCGCCCCUUGGUAUUCCGAGGGGCAUGCCUGUUCGAGCGUCAUUACAACCCUCAAGCAAUGCUUGGUAUUGGGCUCCGCUGCUCACCCAGCCAGCCUUAAAAUCAGUGGCGGUGCCGUUGGGCCCUGAGCGUAGUAAACAUCCUCGCUAUAGGGACCCGGUGGACACUAGCCAUCAACCCCCAUUUUCCAAGUUUGACCUCGGAUCAGGUAGGGAUACCCGCUGAACUUAAGCAUAUCAA